Molecule: ribosomal RNA, 524 nt
Filed under: uncultured bacterium
Lineage: Bacteria
Description: partial 16S ribosomal RNA
Rfam family: Bacterial small subunit ribosomal RNA
Source: RNAcentral
GACGAACGCUGGCGGCGUGCCUAAUACAUGCAAGUCGAGCGCAGGAAAUCGACGGAACCCUUCGGGGGGAAGUCGACGGAAUGAGCGGCGGACGGGUGAGUAACACGUAAAGAACCUGCCCUCAGGUCUGGGAUAACCACGAGAAAUCGGGGCUAAUACCGGAUGGGUCAUCGGACCGCAUGGUCCGAGGAUGAAAGGCGCUUCGGCGUCGCCUGGGGAUGGCUUUGCGGUGCAUUAGCUAGUUGAUGGGGUAAUGGCCCACCAAGGCGACGAUGCAUAGCCGACCUGAGAGGGUGAUCGGCCACACUGGGACUGAGACACGGCCCAGACUCCUACGGGAGGCAGCAGUAGGGAAUCUUCCACAAUGGACGAAAGUCUGAUGGAGCAUCGCCGCGUGAACGAUGAAGGCCUUCGGGUCGUAAAGUUCUGUUGUAAGGGAAGAACAAGUGCCGCAGGCAAUGGCGGCACCUUGACGGUACCUUGCGAGAAAGCCACGGCUAACUACGUGCCAGCCGCCGCAGUAA